This 7270-nucleotide long non-coding RNA is filed under the name Mytilus galloprovincialis (Mediterranean mussel). The record is from RNAcentral. Lineage: Eukaryota; Metazoa; Mollusca; Bivalvia; Mytilida; Mytilidae.
CUCUUUUAUUUGAUUCGACGAUGCGAGUGAAGCAUUGUGGGAUGGCAUUUCAUGAAAAAUCACUUUAUUGAAGUUUCGUUUUAUUUAUUGUCAACACAAGGUGUGGAUAAGACCCAAUAUAGAUGGAAUAAUACGUAUUGUGAAUAUUUAAAUUGUAUUACCACAAAUUAAAAUAUUGUGUUUUCAUUAGAAUACGAUUUUUUUUUAAAACAUUUUUAUAUAACCACAACUUUUCUGUAUAUCGUUCAAGGCUUAUCUCGGACAGUAGUAAAAAAAAGUAAUAAAAAGAAGACAAAAAAUGUACAUUUGAGAGGAAAUUAAACAUAUACAGUAGAUUUUCAGCUUUACAUAUAUAGUUGCAGAGAACAGGAACUCUCAUUUUAAUUGGAAAGGAUUUCUUUAUUCGAUGCCGGUAAGUUUAUAAAUACUUUUGCUAUUUUCUGAAAGCAUAUACACAUGCAGACUGGACCAUACAACGUAAUAGACAUUAAACAAAUGCGCUAAUACGUGUUUUUCGGUUACAUUAUAAAACGUCCCCUCUAAACUAUGCUCUCGCUCAGAUGGCUCACGUACAACCUAUUGAAAGCGAUCACAUGCACUUCAGUAUUUUUCUUCUAUUUAGCUGGAAAUUACUUAUACAAUAUAACAUAAAAGGAUUUUUACAUAGAAAACGUUGGUUGUGUGAAACUAGUCAGUGCUUUAAGGGACUUAUCAUGUACGUGUUUGUAAAAAUAAUUAGUGAGUUGCUCAGGGGACAUGCAUUGGAAAAUCACUUGUACAUUAAUUACAAUUAUACAUUCAAACAGACGUGUACUGAUUAUUUUAGACAAUUUAUUGUUUCCCUAUAAACAAUAAUCCGUAUUAUAGGUAAGACAUUUCUACAAAUUAUUAUUUCGUUGACAAUAUUAUCAGAAUCAAUUAUUAGUGAUUUUUACAAUUAUUAUUUUUCCGUAUACAUACAGCUUCUUGUCUAUUUGUUAACCACUUUUAAAGAUUAUUUACAUAUCAUUUUCUUCUCUUUGCUUAUAUAUAUAUAUGUAUUAAGUGGAAAAUAAAUAAAGAAUAUUGUCAUAUGAAAAAGAAAUAUAAAUAUAUGCUGUAGUUAGCAAUAUAGGAGUAAUUUAUAGGGUUACUUUCGUGAUUUUUUCAAAGCGUGCACAUUUGUUGGCACAGAUCGUCCCUUCACAACGUGAUUAAUAUUUUUGGAAGAUUCUGUACUUUUAUGGGACGUUCCGUUAAGCUUUUCUAUUCAUGUAAAAAUCAGGAGAUGUUAGCAAACGAUCUAUUAAAAUUCACAAGUCAAGGAGAAACGAAGAAAAUUAUGGCAAAAAACAACGAUAAUCGACAAAAAGGGCAUGUACAGCACCCUACUUAUUGUGCUUCGGAAGGUUAAGCACAACCUGAUCUAAAUGAAGCAUCCGUUGAAAUGUCAAGGUAGCAAUACCCAGUUAUGAAAUUUAAAAAAAAAUGACACACAUAUUUUUUUAACUUCCCUCGUUUCCUUGCUUUAUCACAAAUCAUAUAUAUAGAAACAAAAUUCAUAUUCCGCAGAUUUGAUUUCCAAUACGUAGUCAAUAAUAAAAUCUAAUAUUUUUGUUUGUGUAACCAUAGCAACAGUCUGCAUUUAUUUGAUACAAAAUAUUGCAAAAAAAAGGGGGUGAUACUGUUACAUACGUCCACAAAUUUUCUAAUCAUAUUCAGUAUAUUAAUAAUAACUAAUUCUAAGGACCCAGGAUAGAUAUUAAAUAAUUGUUUAAAGACUUCUGAUUUGAAAGCUUAGUUAGUUUAAUUCCCACCCACUCAUCUUUAGAGAAGAUGUAUGCAUACUAUGAAAACACAUUAGAUUAUCUUCAAAUAUAUUAAAGGUACUCGUGUAGGUUUCUUACAUUUUUAUACAAAUAAUGUCUAAUCCGUUUGUCAUUUUUGAACAAUCAAAUAUGUUUAAUAAACUACAUUUUCAUACAAAAAACUAAUAAAAAAUAAUAAGAAUUGAAAUCGAAUCAAAAUAAUUUGUUAUGGCCACAAAAAUUGGAAAAUAUAGCUAUCUCAACACAAAACAAUAUAAAUUAUGUAAUAUAUCGUUUGUAUAAUGCUAAAUACUAACAACAACUGGUUUAAAUUACUAAACACGUCACGUAUGUUAUCAAAUAUGGGAGGUUUAGAGGUGUAGUAAUAUCGUUUCACUCUUUAUCUCAUUUUCCCAACUUUACAUUACUACAACACGCACAUCAGUGCAGCGUUUUAAAAAUACUGUGUUGUAUUACUGACAAUAAGACCACUUCCUACAAUGCAAAGACCAAAAAACACAGGCAUAAGUAUAUACAUGCCGAAACCAUGAUAUCAGUGAUAAAGUUUUGUUCAUUGUUGAAGGCAGUGACCACUGUCCUGUAGUUGCUUACUUAAUUUCCUACGUCAUUGUUGAAGGCAGUGACCACUGUCCUGUAGUUACUUAAUUUCCUACGUCAUUGAAAUGGCGUAGGAAAUUAAGUAAGCAACUACAGGACAGUGGUCACUGCUUUCAACGUUACUUAAUUUCCUACGUCAUUGAAAUGGCGUAGGAAAUUAAGUAAGCAACUACAGGACAGUGGUCACUGCUUUCAACAAUGACGUAGGAAAUUAAGUAAGCAACUACAGGACAGUGGUCACUGCCUUCAACAAUGACGUAGGAAAUUAAGUAAGCAACUACAGGACAGUGGUCACUGCCUUCAACAAUGACGUAGGAAAUUAAGUAAGCAACUACAGGACAGUGGUCACUGCCUUUAACAAUGAACAAAACUUUAUCACUGAUAUCAUGGUUUCGGCAUGCAUAUACUUAUGCAUGUGUUUUAUUUUGUUGGUUUAUUUGUACAAUUCUAAAACAUCAAAUCUUAAAUUUACCUCCCAACCCGCAUUGUUCGUAUUAAAACAAACAUACGACUUUCGUUGCAGGCGUGACAAAAAAAAACCUGGUAGAAGUAUUUAACCUUAACUUUUUGCUGCAAUGCAUGCUAAACAUAAUUUAAGUCUCACGAAGUUUUUUUCUUCUUGUGUAUAUCUAAGCUUCUAACAAUAAUUACUAUUUGGUGUUUCACGGACAUGUUGAUUAUAUUUAAUCUAUUAACGACGAAUAUGUCGGUUUAAUAUACUAAAGUAAAUACAUGUGAAACAUAUAAUAUAAUUAUACUCUAUCAGCUGUAGGUAAUUUUCUACAAUACGUUAAAAAAUUGCGUUGUUCAAGCGUUUAUUGCCCGUUGACAGGUUAUCACGAGAACAACUACAAACAAUAGCUAUAAUACUUAAAUUGAACCAGUUGUGGUUGUGAUUUCUUAAUUUUGCGUCCGCUUGUUUUUUUUUUUUUAUUUUGUGUAUGCUUUUAUACUGGCGGGUAGGUAUUAAAAUUAUAACUUGACUCAAUUAACGUACUUGUUACUAAAAAAAAUAUACCCAGACACGAACAAAUCUUAAUACUCUGUCCAUGUAUAAUAUAUAAUCUCAAAAUGUCAAUUUCUGGAUAACUAUCUACAUGAAAAGCAGUGGUAUUUUAAAACGUGGAGUAGUAAUUGCUAAAAAUAGAUAUCAUAACUUCUCUUUGGUUUUUUUUAAACUUUAACAUGCAUUUUCUUUAUUAUGUGUACAGUGUAUGUGUGUGAUAAGUAUAUACUAUAAGGUGAAUGUACAUACAUACGUAUGCAUGUAACAAAGUACCUGCAAGCUACAAUAGAUUGUUAGUCCAUCACAAAUCAUUCCUGAUUUAUUACAUUAUGACUUUGAUUUGCACAAGUAACACAAUUGUAUAAAACAAAGAUGUGUGACUCAGCAACAAGACAGUCAAGCCCAGCUUUAUUGAUAUUGAAAAAAACGUAAUUCAUUCAUUAAUUUCCAUUUUUAACAUAUGAACUAUAGGACCCUCGUUCUGUGUUAUUUUUUUAGUAUUUUUCUUUACCCCCCCCCUUUUUUUAAAACAUUUUGUGGCCUCUCUGGAUCCCCUCUUUUUGAAAAUUCUGAAACCGACACUGACUUUUGUUCGAUUUGUUUAUUGAAAAUAAUUGCAUAUUUCGAAAGAAAAACUUAAGGUUAAAUUCGAUAUUGCUUUUGAAAUUAUUUAUAACACUCCUGUUUAAUCAUUGAAUUGUAUAUUAUCUGAUUAAUAAUGUUAAUUUUGAUUGAGAAGAUUUUCCAUAUUGCUGCGUCGGAGGCAUGUCCCUUUUAAUGUCUUGCAGGAUGUAACUAUUACAUAUCACCGCAAUUAUAUGAUAAAGAUCAAUAAAGUCAAAAAAUGGGGCGGGACACUUUGGGAAGCCGCAAUAAAUUUUCACCUCGUUGAAUUCGGUAUUGUAAGUUUAUGGAAAGUUUUACGACACAAAGGCGCAAAUCCUUUUUAAAUUAUUUUAAAAAUCUAUGCGUAAAUGUAAAUAAGUUUUUACAUUUAUUUACCAUAUUCGUUGCCGUUCAGCGUUCGUUUCUUACACUAGAUAUAGGAAGAUGUGGUAUGAGUGUCAAUGAGACAACUCUCCAUCCAAACUAGGUCUUCUAUAGCAAGUUUUUUUCUGCUUACUUUUUUAUUCGUAUAUUUUUACCUUCAAGACUUGUUUAUAUAUCUGUAUAGUACCUGAGUAAGCAAGAUCGAUACUUUGGUGUCUUAAGUCUUUUUAUUUGUUGUUGUUCCUUAAUUUGUUGAUUUAAUUAGUCGAUACUUUUUCAACUGGUGAGUAUAGUGUAUGCAUGUGUUGUGCUAUUACACUACAGUAACUUUCCCAUGUUAGGGAAGAUAUCUAAUGCUAUUUAAUGGUUUGUCGUUUGUUCAUGUAUAUCAUAUGAUAUUUUGUUUUAGUAAUUUUCAAAUAAAUAAAGACCGGUUAAAUAAAGCGUUAGUUUUUUUUGUUUGAAUUAUUUUACAUUUGCCCCCCCCCCCUUUUUUCGAAAUCAGCUUCUGCAUGUCAUUAUUUAUUUUCAUAUACAUCCCUUGCAAUUGCUCCUUUUUACUUAUAUUUGACAUGUGAUAUAGAUUGUAAAUGAUUUAUUUGUUAUGCAUAUUGUGCUUAACUGUCAGGUGGUAAAAUUACGUAUUCAAAUACACAACAGCCGUGUUACAAAAUCUUACAACACUGAAACAUCUGACAAACAAUCGAUUCAAUGUAACAAUAUGAUUUUGUUAGUACUGAAGAGAUACAAACAAAUACUUUUGUUUUUCUUGAAUUUUGAGAUAGACUACAUAUCUAGAUUAAUGGUAAGUUUCUGUUUUCGCUUGCAUACUUACUAUGGGUCUGGGUGUGUGUUCCUUCAUCUCAUUAGAUCAACUAAUUAGAAUUAGAUGUUUGCUAUUCAUUUUCCGCCCUAUUUUCUCUUUUAGUUUAUGAUUAAUUUACCAGCCCAUUAUUAUUUAUUUUUUAUUAUGUUUGCCCAUUAUUUUCUAUUUUGAAAAACCGUCCAGAACGAGGGGGUGUCCAGCAGAGGCGGAUUUAAUGGGGCAGGGGGAAAUUUUGUUGAUUAUAUAGCGAAUCACUGAAGCAUGACCGGAGCAAGCCCCUUCUUCGGCAGUCAGUGGGCCCCCACUUAUGAAAAUUUCUGGAUCCGCCAAUGUCCAGUCAUCCCAUAAAAGGUAGGGGUUUCCUACCCCAAUUAAAAGCAUUGAUCGCCGAAAGGGGGGUUUCAACCCCGGAACCCCCACCCCUGGAUCCGCCCCUGCCAGGACCUGCCUGCAUUAAUAAUUGCAUGCAUUAUUUUCUCUUUCGAAUUAUUAAUGAUAUAUUUUGUUAGGGAGCUACCAUUUGAUUUUUAUGGGGGGGGGGGGGGGGGGGGGGCUAGGAUGAAAAAUUUUUGUCCUGCAUUUUUUUUAGCUGUAAUCUCUGUCCUGCCUUUUAAUUUUUCACUCUGUUCGGUCCUGCCUUUUUUUUAAGUUUAUCCUGACUUUUUUUUACCUAAAUUGUCGUCCUGACUUUUUUUUUUUGGCAAGUGUCCUCAUCCUGCCUUUUUUUUUACUCAAAGUUCCUGUCCUGCCUAUUUUUUUCAAAUUUCAUCCUAGCCCCCCCCCCACCAUAAAAAUCAAAUGGUAGCUCCCUUAUGUGGUGACCUCGUUUUAAAACUUAUUAUAAAGUAUUGCUCAUUAUUGAAAGCUGUUUUGCAUGAGGUUUUGUUUUAAUUAUCUUUUCCAUUAUUUUUUUAUCCUAUGCCUUUUCAUAUUGACCUUUGAAUGGCAGACCUUUUAUGUAUUUCUUUUUGCAGGGUCUGGAUUGGUCCUGUCCUUUUUUUUUUUUUUUUAACAUUCUUUAAAUUUUAUGGGCAUAUUUUUGUUUUAUCUUUUAAAUUAGCGCUUAUUCUAUUGUGCACCCAAUUGUUUUCAUUUUAUUUUUUUUUAUAUUUUCCUUAUUUUUCUCUCUUUAUCAUUCAUGAUUUUUAGCCAUAAUUAUCUAUUCUGUAAACCCCAUACACCUUAUCGCUAUUUGUCCGCCAUUGGCAUUGCUGGAUAUCACACAGGUUCCCGUAAUAUUUUGACGUCAUAAAACAAAAUAUCUAACGCCACAAUGGAAAAGUGAUUGUUGUAUGCGUCAAAAGUUCAAGCGGCCGGGUCAGCCGGGAUUAGCGAUAAGGUGUAUUCAGAUCCUCGACCAUGACUCAAUCGAUUGUGAUGCGGGCCGUGAUACUCCCAAAUCGAAAACAUUUUUUUUAUUCGAAUUUAUUGCUUGCAAAAAUAUUGGCCAUUGUACGAUUAAUUUUCAAUAAAGAAGAACAUAGUCAACACUUUUUUCUUACAUGACGUAGCUGAAAACGUCAAAUCUCAGGGUUAAUCAUGACGUCACACGUAAUUUCUAAUGGCCGAACUUCCUGCGUAAACAAUGCACUUAAAUAAAACCAGCACAGUACUUGCUGAGGACAUCUUUGCUUGAUAAUGUCAAAGAUGUUGUUCUAGCAAAAAUUCCUAUGAAUUUAACCAAUUGUACCGGAGGGCAAUGUGGCCUUAAUAUCAACUUGAAUAUUCCUCGCUAUGAUCAUUCAGCACAACACGAGUCUGCUGUCAUUCUUUUCAUAACCGUAUCAUUAGCGGUUGGUGGUAAGCAAUAAUAAUAUAUGUAUUUUAUGCUUUUAUUUCAGACUAUGGAAUAUCAACUAAUAGUUAAAUGAAAAAAUACUAGCAGAAUGGAACUAUAACAUUUAAAUAUCUGAAUGGAAUAAAAGUGCACCAUGGUGAAUUUGACAAGUGUCCCUCCGAAUACAACGGAAGUCGCUAAGCAUCAUGUUGAGGAAAAACAAUCGGCAAUUUUAUUUUUCAUAUUUUGUUGUUGUGCCGUUGGAG